CUACGGGAGGCAGCAGUGGGGAAUAUUGGACAAUGGGCGAAAGCCUGAUCCAGCCAUGCCGCGUGUGUGAAGAAGGCCUUUUGGUUGUAAAGCACUUUAAGCGAGGAGGAGGCUACUUAGAUUAAUACUCUAGGAUAGUGGACGUUACUCGCAGAAUAAGCACCGGCUAACUCUGUGCCAGCAGCCGCGGUAAU
RNAcentral lists this ribosomal RNA (194 nucleotides) under uncultured bacterium. Its description in RNAcentral is "partial 16S ribosomal RNA". It matches the Rfam family "Bacterial small subunit ribosomal RNA", at positions 339 to 524 of the family's 1533-position model. The record is from RNAcentral.